GACGAACGCUGGCGGCGUGCUUAACACAUGCAAGCCGAGCGAGAACCUGAAGAGGGGUAACCCUUUUCAGGGGAGAGCGGCGAACGGGUGAGUAACACGUGGGCAACCUGCCCCAGACACCGGGAUAACCCAGGGAAACCUGAGCUAAUACCGGAUACUCCGGCGAGAUCGCAUGGUCUUGCCGGGAAAAGCUCCGACGGUCUGGGAUGGGCCCGCGGCCUAUCAGCUUGUUGGUGGGGUAACGGCCUACCAAGGCGUCGACGGGUAGCUGGUCUGAGAGGACGGACAGCCACACUGGGACUGAGACACGGCCCAGACUCCUACGGGAGGCAGCAGUGGGGAAUAUUGCGCUAAUGCGCGAAAGCGUGGCGCAGCGACGCCGCGUGGGGAGUGAAGG
This 397-nucleotide ribosomal RNA is filed under the name uncultured bacterium. RNAcentral describes it as "bacterial SSU rRNA". It matches the Rfam family "Bacterial small subunit ribosomal RNA", at positions 28 to 414 of the family's 1533-position model. The record is from RNAcentral.